UACGUAGGUGGCAAGCGUUGUCCGGAUUUACUGGGCGUAAAGAGCGCGCAGGCGGUCGCUCAAGUCGCGUGUGAAAGCCCCCCGGCUCAACUGGGGAGGGUCACGCGAUACUGAUCGACUGGAAGGCAGGAGAGGGUAGUGGAAUUCCCGGUGUAGUGGUGAAAUGCGCAGAUAUCGGGAGGAACACCAGUAGCGAAGGCGGUUCUCUGGGACGGUACUGACGCUGAGACGCGAAAGCGUGGGGAGCGAACAGG
Molecule: ribosomal RNA, 254 nt
Filed under: uncultured bacterium
Lineage: Bacteria
Description: partial 16S ribosomal RNA
Rfam family: Bacterial small subunit ribosomal RNA
Source: RNAcentral